GGGGGGGGGGGGGAUAAAAGGAUGGUAUGUGGCAUCAUGCUCAAAAUACAGAAUCUGUCUACUGCAGGAACUGUGUUGGUCCGUACCAUCGGCUUAAGUGUUAAAUUCAAAAUGGUACAGGAACUGACUACUGACCCAUGUGAGUGAGGCCUGUGGGUCCUUGGGGUAAAUGCAUCAGGCACUAAUGGUACAGCACGCGUGUUUGUCGUCCAAAGUUCCAUUGCAUGCACCACUGCCAGGCUUGUACUCAUUUGAUGCUGUUUGUCUGAUAUUGACAUGUUUACGUCUUUGUCCUGUAUUUUCUGGCCUGGCCCGGCCCUAGGCAGAAGAGUGGUCUUAAGUCUGCUCCAAUUCCAAACCUAUUCCAGAGGUGUAGCCAUAAAGUUGAGGCAGUGUAGACUUAAGUAGAAAUUAGGUCAGUAUUGUUUUAGUUGUUUUUUUUUUUCUUUCUUUUUUACAGUGUGACUUAGUUUUGUUUGCAAGUGUACAGACACUUUAUUGACAUGGUGUUGGCCCAACUGUCCCUUUUUUCCCUCAGUAAAGCAACAAAGAUGAUCUCAACAUCUUUCAUUUACAUUUUUCUUUUUUCCGUCUUUUGAGUGCAGUUGUUUCUGCUUAUGCCGAUAAUUCUAAACUUUGACUGUCACAGUUGAUGACAGUUUUUCCUGUAUUUGACUGAAUUGUGUGAUUUUUACGUUCUUGGGCUUUUCAGUAAUUGAUUUUUAUUUUCAUUGACAAAACAGUAGAGUGUGUUCCAUUUUGUCAGUUACUGCUUGUAUCAGGAAAAUCCAUAAAUGCCUUGCAAAAUACCAUUUUCAGUAUAUUUCAAAUAAUUCGAUGUCUUAAAACACAUGCUCUACACCCUUGAAUGCUGUAUGUUAUGACAUUCUUGUUAUUGUCUAUCUACUGUAGUUGCUUAGAGGGUCCACUGAAAAGAAUCUGAACAAAAUGAAGCUUUGCACAUGUACAUGAAGUUGCUCUCUGGUUGGUCAGAUACACUUGUGUGUGUGCAGGGGGGCAAGCUUAAAAUGUUACUGACAUUGACUUUGUUGCUGUGCUUGCUGUGUGUACCACAAACCAUGUGAAGUGUAUUUUAUUUCGAUGAAUAGGGACAAUGAUUGAGAAAGUAAACUGUAACUGAAAAGAACAGUUAAAGAUGUAUUGUACAGCAUUUUGGGUAGGAGUGGAAAUCCAGCAGAGCUCAAUGGCAUGUGACCACAAUGUAAUUUUAGCCCUGUUUUAUUUACAGGGGCAUCUAGUGGCUUGUGAGCAGCUCAAUACAUCUUUGAUUUUAUACUCAUUUUUUUUGUUAUGUAUUUUAUGUCCGGCCAUGUUACAUCAGCCAUUUAAACAUCAGUUUUCGAUGUGAAGUAAUAUAUUUAUCCACGAUGCUUUUUGAGAAUGCUCUCCUUGAAAUGAAAAUCCCCUCAUAACUAACAUGUUGGGCAAAACCUUUGUGUGACUGGGAAGGAUAAAAACGUGCAGUGUUUUGACCUCAGUGUCAAGAACCCGGAGACAUCAUCAUCAUCAUAUCACCAUCCCUUGACUUUAUUUCACAUGGUGUUCAGUGACAAUAUACAGACAACAGUGUCACAGUAGUUGCGGCUCAGAAAAGCUGCAGCAGCAGAGUCAGCAUCUGCAGGAAACAUGUCGAGAGUGGUAUUUGGGUACUGUGGCAUUUUUGCGUAACGUCUGAAUGCAUUUACAAAUUUGAGUGUUCUAACUCGACUGCACACUUGCAUGUUCUCGAUACAGAGAAGACUCUAAGUCAAUCUCCUGUGCUAUACAAUUACUGGUACCACUGUAUGCACUGUGAACAGAAUAAAUGAUAUACAUGUUUA
Molecule: long non-coding RNA, 1841 nt
Organism: Clupea harengus (Atlantic herring)
Lineage: Eukaryota; Metazoa; Chordata; Actinopteri; Clupeiformes; Clupeidae
Source: Ensembl